CAUAGCGACUAUCGUGGCAUAUCAAUAAGCGGAGGAAAAGAAACUAACAAGGAUUCCCCUAGUAACGGCGAGUGGAAGCGGGAAGAGCUCAAAUUUGAAAUCUUAAAGGGUUUCCCUUUACGAAUUGUAGUUUAAAGAAGUGUUUUCUGUUGGAAGUUUCGGUAAAAGUUCUUUGGAAUAGGACAUCAUAGAGGGUGAGAAUCCCGUAUUUGACCAGUUACUUUCCAGCUGUGUGAUACACUUUCAAAGAGUCGGAUUGUUUGGGAAUGCAGUCCAAAAUGGGUGGUAAAUUUCAUCUAAAGCUAAAUAUUGGCGAGAGGACCGAUAGCGAACAAGUACCGUGAGGGAAAGAUGAAAAGAACUUUGAAAAGAGAGUUAAACAGUACGUGAAAUUGUCAAAAGGGAAGCGUUUGACACCAGUGUUGUUUAGUUGAAAAUCAAUUCAAUAAUUUUUGAUUUUAAGUAGUAUUGACUUCAUCAGCUUGCUGCUUUCUUUUCAGGAAUUAUUGAAUGCACUUUUCAGUUAACAAGUCAACAUCAAUUUCUUUUGUUGUAAAAGGGUAAGAGGAAGGUGGCUUACGCUUCGGCGUAAGUGUUUAUAGCCUUUUACCUCUGCAAUCGGAGAGAUUGAGGACAGCAGCGUAGACUCCUUCGGGGGUUAGAUACACUUGUGCUAAGCUAUAGCCUUGUAUAGACAACUUGUUGACUAUGCUCAGUCAUGUAGCUUACUCGCUUGUGCUAUUUUACCUACGCUUAGGAUGUUGACGAGACUGUCGAUCUC
Molecule: ribosomal RNA, 781 nt
Filed under: uncultured Neocallimastigales
Lineage: Eukaryota; Fungi; Neocallimastigomycota; Neocallimastigomycetes; Neocallimastigales
Description: partial large subunit ribosomal RNA
Rfam family: Eukaryotic large subunit ribosomal RNA
Source: RNAcentral